This 60-nucleotide microRNA precursor is filed under the name Ornithorhynchus anatinus (platypus). RNAcentral's name for it is "Oan-Mir-1390_pre stem-loop". Lineage: Eukaryota; Metazoa; Chordata; Mammalia; Monotremata; Ornithorhynchidae. The record is from RNAcentral.
UAUACAGAUUCGAGUAUGCAUAUGUAAUAUACUCUAUGUGCACACUCAUAUCUGUAUAAC